Molecule: ribosomal RNA, 1489 nt
Filed under: uncultured bacterium
Lineage: Bacteria
Description: bacterial SSU rRNA
Rfam family: Bacterial small subunit ribosomal RNA
Source: RNAcentral
AGAGUUUGAUCCUGGCUCAGGAUGAACGCUAGCUACAGGCUUAACACAUGCAAGUCGAGGGGCAGCAUGGUCUUAGCUUGCUAAGGCCGAUGGCGACCGGCGCACGGGUGAGUAACACGUAUCCAACCUGCCGUCUACUCUUGGACAGCCUUCUGAAAGGAAGAUUAAUACAAGAUGGCAUCAUGAGUCCACAUGUUCACAUGAUUAAAGGUAUUCCGGUAGACGAUGGGGAUGCGUUCCAUUAGAUAGUAGGCGGGGUAACGGCCCACCUAGUCUUCGAUGGAUAGGGGUUCUGAGAGGAAGGUCCCCCACAUUGGAACUGAGACACGGUCCAAACUCCUACGGGAGGCAGCAGUGAGGAAUAUUGGUCAAUGGGCGAGAGCCUGAACCAGCCAAGUAGCGUGAAGGAUGACUGCCCUAUGGGUUGUAAACUUCUUUUAUAAAGGAAUAAAGUCGGGUAUGCAUACCCGUUUGCAUGUACUUUAUGAAUAAGGAUCGGCUAACUCCGUGCCAGCAGCCGCGGUAAUACGGAGGAUCCGAGCGUUAUCCGGAUUUAUUGGGUUUAAAAGGAGCGUAGAUGGAUGUUUAAGUCAGUUGUGAAAGUUUGCGGCUCAACCGUAAAAUUGCAGUUGAUACUGGAUGUCUUGAGUGCAGUUGAGGCAGGCGGAAUUCGUGGUGUAGCGGUGAAAUGCUUAGAUAUCACGAAGAACUCCGAUUGCGAAGGCAGCCUGCUAAGCUGCAACUGACAUUGAGGCUCGAAAGUGUGGGUAUCAAACAGGAUUAGAUACCCUGGUAGUCCACACGGUAAACGAUGAAUACUCGCUGUUUGCGAUAUACUGCAAGCGGCCAAGCGAAAGCGUUAAGUAUUCCACCUGGGGAGUACGCCGGCAACGGUGAAACUCAAAGGAAUUGACGGGGGCCCGCACAAGCGGAGGAACAUGUGGUUUAAUUCGAUGAUACGCGAGGAACCUUACCCGGGCUUAAAUUGCAGAUGAAUUACGGUGAAAGCCGUAAGCCGCAAGGCAUCUGUGAAGGUGCUGCAUGGUUGUCGUCAGCUCGUGCCGUGAGGUGUCGGCUUAAGUGCCAUAACGAGCGCAACCCUUGUUGUCAGUUACUAACAGGUUCUGCUGAGGACUCUGACAAGACUGCCAUCGUAAGAUGUGAGGAAGGUGGGGAUGACGUCAAAUCAGCACGGCCCUUACGUCCGGGGCUACACACGUGUUACAAUGGGGGGUACAGAGGGCCGCUACCACGCGAGUGGAUGCCAAUCCCAAAAACCUCUCUCAGUUCGGACUGGAGUCUGCAACCCGACUCCACGAAGCUGGAUUCGCUAGUAAUCGCGCAUCAGCCACGGCGCGGUGAAUACGUUCCCGGGCCUUGUACACACCGCCCGUCAAGCCAUGGGAGCCGGGGGUACCUGAAGUGCGUAACCGCGAGGAGCGCCCUAGGGUAAAACUGGUGACUGGGGCUAAGUCGUAACAAGGUAGCC